Molecule: ribosomal RNA, 563 nt
Filed under: uncultured organism
Description: bacterial SSU rRNA
Rfam family: Bacterial small subunit ribosomal RNA
Source: RNAcentral
CCUACGGGAGGCAGCAGUAAGGAAUAUUGGUCAAUGGAGGAGAACUCUGAACCAGCCAUGCCGCGUGAAAGGAUGACGGCCCUCUGGGUUGUAAACUUCUUUUGGAUGGGGCGAAAAAACGGGAUUCUAUCCUGGACUGACGGUACCAUCAGAAUAAGCACCGGCUAACUCCGUGCCAGCAGCCGCGGUAAUACGGAGGGUGCAAGCGUUAUCCGGAAUCACUGGGUUUAAAGGGUGCGUAGGCGGUUGUAUAAGUCAGGGGUGAAAGGAUGCAGCUUAACUGUAUAAUUGCCUUUGAUACUGUAUGACUUGAAUAAGGUUGAGGUUGGCGGAAUGUGACAUGUAGCGGUGAAAUGCUUAGAUAUGUCAUGGAACACCGAUUGCGAAGGCAGCUGACUGGGCCUUUAUUGACGCUGAGGCACGAAAGCGUGGGUAGCGAACAGGAUUAGAUACCCUGGUAGUCCACGCCCUAAACGAUGUAUACUCGUUGUUUGAGAGUAAUUUUGAGCGACCAAGCGAAAGCGUUAAGUAUACCACCUGGGGAGUACGCCCGCAAGGGUGAA